CCUACGGGUUGCAGCAGUAGGGAAUCUUCCGCAAUGGACGAAAGUCUGACGGAGCAACGCCGCGUGAGCGAAGAAGGCCUUCGGGUCGUAAAGCUCUGUUGUUAGGGAAGAACAAGUAACGCAGUAACUGGCGUUACCGUGACGGUACCUAACGAGAAAGCCACGGCUAACUACGUGCCAGCAGCCGCGGUAAUACGUAGGUGGCAAGCGUUGUCCGGAAUUAUUGGGCGUAAAGCGCGCGCAGGCGGUUCCUUAAGUCUGAUGUGAAAGCCCACGGCUCAACCGUGGAGGGUCAUUGGAAACUGGGGGACUUGAGUGCAGAAGAGGAGAGCGGAAUUCCACGUGUAGCGGUGAAAUGCGUAGAGAUGUGGAGGAACACCAGUGGCGAAGGCGGCUCUCUGGUCUGUAACUGACGCUGAGGCGCGAAAGCGUGGGGAGCAAACAGGAUUAGAUACCCUAGUAGUC
RNAcentral lists this ribosomal RNA (465 nucleotides) under uncultured bacterium. RNAcentral's name for it is "bacterial SSU rRNA". It matches the Rfam family "Bacterial small subunit ribosomal RNA", at positions 338 to 795 of the family's 1533-position model. The record is from RNAcentral.